GAAAAAGAUACUGGGUCGAUGGCGUGUCCUCAUUCCCCAAUCCCCAUCCCUCCCUCUCCCUCUCCAUCUCCCUCGUCUGCCGCUGCCCUCCCCAUAGCCGCUACCACCACCGGCGCCCUGCCCCAUAGCUGGCGCCCCCACUCCUUCCCCCUCCCCUUAGGCUAUCCCCACCACUGAUGACCUCCUUGCCUCCUCCUCGCCCCAGAUCAAGCAGCUGGUCCGGAUCCGAUGCAGGCUCUGGCACGCCCAUGGCUCUGCUUCCGCCAUCGGCCGGAGGAACGCAGACGGAAUAUGCCGUCGCCAUCGCACAUUCUUCCUCCUCCGCUACCGGUCCUCUGCCCCUCCCCUCUUCUCCCCACGGGAUAGCCAAGGGCCCACCUUGUGCUCAGGGAUGGGAAAAAGAUGGAGGGGCCGCCGGCAGGUGUGGAUGAGGAGAUCCACCACAAACAACCUGAGGUUAUUCGCCUGUCCAUGCUGCUAUUAUAGAGGCGGACGCCGUGGCCGCUGUUUCCUCUGCACACGCAUUGGCCAUCCCAGAAUGUGACCCUAUGCGUGGUGGUGGGGUAUGAUAUGAUCAAGGUCUCCGAGCAGCUCUGCAAAUCAGGAAUUUAUUAACUUAACGCUUCGUUGCAUUGCAGACUUGGAUAUCCCCAUUAAAAGGUCAGUGCAGAAUCAUGUCUUACAAUUCCUACCGGUGCUAGCUCUUUAUUUGGAGAGUAAAUGUUUGCUCAGGGAUACAUUCAUAGAGUUCCUGAGCGCAAUGAUGUGUCACCUACAGGAAGAAACUGUAGUCAAGAAGAACGUGAUCAUUUGAGAAGUAUGAUAAGGUACAUAACAUUCAGCCUGAAAUGGUGUUGGUGUUUCGCAAAAAGUAUGGCCACUUGAACCUGACUUUUUCUAUUGGAGAGCAGAUCAGUUCUGAUAACAGAAGAUCCACACUAAACAUAGCAUGUCCAUCAGAGGAGCAAAUGUUGUUUAUCACUGCAUCUCUUCACAUGUUGGCAAGCCUGAUAUCUAUGAAGGCACUAUACAAGGUGGUGGCGCCGUACCUGCUUGGUGCGGACAGGAGAAGAUGCAGGGGCUCCGCUUCUCGACCUCGUCGACAUCAUCGUGCCCCUCCACCGCUGGUUUUGUUACUCAGGCGGCACUACGGCUCUACUAUGGCAGGCCUGCUUGUGGCUCAGGUGGGACUGCAGAUCUUCCGAAGCUUCUUUUUUUUGUGCUAUCUCGUUAUUUUGUUUGUUUUGUGGCCGUGAUUGGAAAGCUUGCUACUCCUUCUGAAGUAUCAUUGUUGCUGCUUGAUUUGUUCCACUUUCUUUGGGAUUAUCAGUUGGUGUGCUUGUAAUAUUAAUUUAUUGCAUCGAGCAUGGAGUAUCCUUUUUCUCUUGGAAAAUGUUUGAUCCUAGGGCUUUUUACUUGCAUAUACUAGAUCAAAUGAAGUUCAUUAGGAGGGACGCAAAACAACCAGGCAUGAUCUACCACUUUGCUCCUAACCGCUUGAGCGAGGCAAUGGGAAAGGCGAACACAACUACCUGCCUCCUUCGGGCAACAACUUUGGUCCCUGCCACCUCCGUCGUCUGCUCCGGCGACUAGCGGGUGGGGACCCUGGGGGUUCGGCUCCGACUGUAGAUAGAGUUACAACUUAAUGUUUUCCAUACAAUUUCCUAUGUGUACCUAUGAUCUGUGGAACUCCGCCUUUGCUUUUUGAGACUGCUAAAUCUUCUGGUCAUGCAUCUCUGAUCAAGACUGGCCCUUCUAUGUUAGCAAACCUAUUAGUAUCUAUCAAACUAUCUUCUGCUUUAUGAAUGGACACCGCUUGUUGAUAUUUCUAGCAUAUACUUGAUGAAAUAUGCAUAAAUAUGUGUUCUUUAUUAUAGGUUUACAGAAGAAUCAAGGAUCAGUUCAAUGGGAAUUGAUGAAUCCCAGCGUUUCUUGCUUUUUUCUGUUAUUAGAGAGUAGGAAACGUUGACACUUGAGGAAUCGCCAUGGUUAUUUACGCAUACCAAGGAAUCCUACCAAGAGAGCCUUGGUGAUGGGGUCACAAAGGACAGCAGCAGCAGCAGAAAGAACAUUAACACCUCUAUCUGAAAAACAUCACUAAUUGUUAGCUUUUGGUAGGAAGACAUGUACGUAACCUAAGAUCAGAGUUUAACUAGAUAUAUAUACAACCUAAAGCAAAUCAAGGUUCAGAGAGGCACACUUACCUUUGGCAGCAGCUUUUUCUUGCUGUUGAUGUUGAUGAACACAGCAGUCACACGAAUAGAUAAAGCAUACAUAGAAGGAGGAGUUGUCCAAUAAAACUGACGCAUGUUGACAGUUCAUCGAGUUCUCUUAAGAUGAUAUAAUUGUUUGGUAGACGCAUGGAUGGAUGGACACGUACAGCUAGCAGCCUAGCAGUAGUGCUAGUCACAAAAGAAAAACCUUGUGAUUGAUUCAUGGUCAUGGCACAACAACAAUGGAUACUUGCUAAUUGGUGAUGGUGGUCGUGCCGCCGCCGCCGCCUUCGGCACCAUCCCAGCUCGCAGCCUCAGUCGAUUUGCUCUGCGUCUCCAACCGUCCAAAGAUCCCAACCCUAUCAUCGUCUCCUACCACGAGCUCGGCAACGAGAUCGGACACGGCAAGUUCGGCUCCGUUCGGAUCUAUGCCGUUCAAGAGGUUCGUGCUGAUCGGGUGGGUGGCCCUGGUGAACUACGGCAAGGACUACGGCCGCCUCGUCGUCAUCGUCGACGUUGUUGACCAGAACAGGAACGUCGAGGACACGGUCCACCGCGAGGUCGAGAUCAUGCAACACCUCUCGGGCCACCCCGCCGUCGUCACGCUGAAGGCCGUCUGCGGUGGUUGCAAAUCGAAGCAGCUGAAAGGGACAAGGCGAUUGGGAGUCAGGGACUACAUAUCCCUCCUCUCCUUGAUUUUCUGUCCAAAAUAUAAGGAAGACGUAUGGGUUCUCGUCAAAUGCAAGCUGUACUACUGUGAAAAAGUGUACUAAUUUUUGCAGUGCAUUAACUUGAUCAUGGGAUUCUCCGUGAUGGCAGCAAAGAGACAACAUGGGGUGGAGAUGCAGGUCGUCAGUACACUGAAGGCGUUGCGUUCUGUCAGGGCGUUGGGUUCGAUGCAGAGCAUCGGAGACGUUGCCGUUGUCCUUGCACGACUCAUCAGAUCCAACCCCGGGCCCGCGCCAGCUAUGUACGGAGCCCUCGAUACGGUGCUCAGUCUCUGCAACUGCAACUCGAUGCCUUGCAUGAAGCUGCCAGCUAUUGAGGACCUCUCUUAAUUACCCAGUUCUGAAUGGAGUCAGUUGAGGUCGUCUAUAAAUUUCCUUGUGAUGUGCUUGCAAACCAAGACUUUGUUGAGGCUUUUCUGCGGGGUCAGGGGAGACGCCAGUGAUCAAGCGGCAGCGGCCUACAGCCUGGGAGACCUGCACAAGGGAGCCGCCAAGAUCUCCAACGACAUCCUCGACUCUGUCGGGGUUUCAUUAUAUGCAACAACAAAAAAUUUGACAACAGUAUACGCGACAAAUGGUGCUAUUUGCGUUUGCUGCAAUCUCCUCAUACUUACCAGGGUUGAGUGCCCAACAUUCCCGAAGAUGGCACCCGAGACGUGUCCUCAGCCAGAAGCAGCGAAGUUGCCGUACAAGAAGCUGGGAGAUUCAGAUCUCCUUAUUAGCGAGAUAACUCUUAGAACAAUGAUCUUUGGAUAGCAAAGAACAGAGAAGGAAUCCCAUGAUAUGCUCUCUUAUUCUUUUAAUCAGGGCAUCAACAUACUGGACACCGCAGAAAUUGCCGGCUAGAUAGGUAUGUCGCACGUUACGGUGAAUUCAGUUACAAUUCAACCAAAUGGAGGCCAAGCGUCCCAUGUGUGGAUCAAUGGAAAGCUUUCAGGAACUAAUUGGUAAAGGGAAGGUACAAUAUAUCGGUGUUUCCAAUGAAACCACGUACGGAGUAAUGCAGUUUGUACAUGCUGCAAAGCUUGAUGGACUUCCAAAGAUUAUGAGCAUCUAGAAUGGUUAUAGUCAACUUGUGAGAUGCAGCUUCGAAGGUGAAGCGGAGAUGUCAGCCAUAAUUUAUUCAUUUUCAUUCACUGGAAUUCCAUGCCAUCCCUGUUGUUUUGAAACUUAUUUGCAGACAUGUAAUUUAGAGAAAGAGGGAGGAAAGAACUCCUCGGUUGUAGUUCAGAUCAUCGGCCUGCUGUCAUCUCUUUCAUAAUUAAAAUUUUAGUUGAAUAGUCUUGGCUUCUUAUUAGGUCUUUGGAGUUAUGUUCAGUGGUUAUCAUUCAUCAUCAUCAUGAGAUGAUUUCAUUUUGUGGAUGCUUGAGUUUAGAAAAUUUAGGCUUUGCAGUCCAUCAUCUCUAUAGGUAUAAGUCUUUGUAGGAUGUAAGACUGCUACUCUAUGUUCAUAUAAGCCUACCUAUUAAUAAUAUUUCUG
RNAcentral lists this ribosomal RNA (4421 nucleotides) under Triticum aestivum (bread wheat). RNAcentral's name for it is "partial small subunit ribosomal RNA". Lineage: Eukaryota; Viridiplantae; Streptophyta; Magnoliopsida; Poales; Poaceae. The record is from RNAcentral.